UACGGAGGGGGCGAGCGUUAUUCGGAAUUAUUGGGCGUAAAGGGCGCGUAGGCGGCUGUACAAGUCAAAGGUGAAAUCCCUCGGCUCAACUGAGGAACUGCCUUUGAAACUGUACGGCUUGAGGCCGGGAGGGGAUAGCGGAAUUCCCAGUGUAGCGGUGAAAUGCGUAGAUACUGGGAGGAACACCAGUGGCGAAGGCGGCUACCUGGACCGGUUCUGACGCUGAGGCGCGAAAGCGUGGGUAGCAAACAGG
This 253-nucleotide ribosomal RNA is filed under the name uncultured bacterium. Its description in RNAcentral is "partial 16S ribosomal RNA". It matches the Rfam family "Bacterial small subunit ribosomal RNA", at positions 524 to 776 of the family's 1533-position model. The record is from RNAcentral.